UACGAAGGUGGCUAGCGUUGUUCGGAUUUACUGGGCGUAAAGGGUGCGUAGGUGGUUUCGUAAGUCGGAUGUGAAAUCCCAUGGCUCAACUGUGGAAUUGCAUUCGAAACUGCGGGACUUGAGUGCAGGAUGGGAGAGCGGAAUUCUUGGUGUAGCGGUGAAAUGCGUUGAUAUCAAGAAGAACACCGGUGGCGAAGGCGGCUCUCUGGAAUGCAACUGACACUGAGGCACGAAAGCUGGGGGAGCAAACAGGAUUAGAUACCCUGGUAGUCCCAGCCGUAAACGGUGCGCACUUGGUGUAGGGGGUAUUGACCCCCCCUGUGCCGGAGCUAACGCGUUAAGUGCGCCGCCUGGGGAGUACGGCCGCAAGGCUAAAACUCAAAGAAAUUGACGGGGGCCCGCACAAGCGGAGGAGCAUGUGGCUUAAUUCGAUGCAACGCGAAGAACCUUACCAGGGCUUGACAUGUACCUGCAUGCCCCCCGAAAGGGGGGAGGCCUUCGAGGGUGGUACACAGGUGCUGCAUGGCUGUCGUCAGUUCGUGCCGUGAGGUGUUGGGUUAAGUCCCGCAACGAACGCAACCCCUAUGGUUAGUUGCCCCCGCCGGUGAUGAGCCGGUGAGCACUCUAGCCAGACUGCCUGUACAAGCAGGAGGAAGGUGGGGACGACGUCAAGUCAGUAUGGCCCUUACGUCCUGGGCUGCACACGUGCUACAAUGGUCGGUACAGAAGGAUGCGAAGUCGCGAGGCGGAGCAAAUCCUCAAAACCGGCCCCAGUUCGGAUUGGAGUCUGCAACUCGACUCCAUGAAGUCGGAUUCGCUAGUAAAGGCGUAUCAGCUACGACGCCUUGAAUACGUUCCCGGGCCU
This 865-nucleotide ribosomal RNA is filed under the name uncultured bacterium. RNAcentral describes it as "SSU rRNA". It matches the Rfam family "Bacterial small subunit ribosomal RNA", at positions 524 to 1381 of the family's 1533-position model. The record is from RNAcentral.